Molecule: long non-coding RNA, 475 nt
Organism: Gadus macrocephalus (Pacific cod)
Lineage: Eukaryota; Metazoa; Chordata; Actinopteri; Gadiformes; Gadidae
Exons: 2
Source: RefSeq, a predicted model, not a curated record
GACGACCAAAGAAAAACGACAGAGUUACCACUCAUGUUUUUUCCAUGUUGACCAAUAAAAAAAAAACAGUGGUACCCAGCUCGACGUUUUUGCAGGGAUCCGAACCUGAGCUUUUUGGAGCAUUAACCUCCGAACUUAUCAAUGCACCAUCAAGACACCGAAUAAAGACAACACAAUGGUUAUACUUGACUUUUAUUUCGCAUGAAAUAGAGAUAAGAGUCUUCCAACAGAAUACAUCAACCGGACUUGAACCCCGGUCUCCAGGGGGUUAGGCAGAGUGCACUCCACUGCACCACUGAGGCGAUGACAAUGCAAGUUAAUCAAUCAUCAAUAAAGAGGAUAUACAUGACAUUAAAAUGUAUGUGUGUAUUUCUAUUAUUUCCCUUAUGGUUUUUUUCAUGACGACCAAUAAAAAACAACAUGUUACCCCUUAUGUUUUUUUUUUCAUGACGACCAAUAAAAAACAACAGUGUUA